AUACGGAGGGUGCGAGCGUUAAUCGGAAUUACUGGGCGUAAAGCGUACGUAGGCGGUUGGUUAAGUUAGAUGUGAAAGCCCCGGGCUUAACCUGGGAACUGCAUUUAAAACUGGCGAACUAGAGUUGAGUAGAGGGGAGUGGAAUUUCAGGUGUAGCGGCGAAAUGCGUAGAGAUCUGAAGGAACACCAGUGGCGAAGGCGACUCCCUGGACUCGAACUGACGCUGAGGUACGAAAGCGUGGGUAGCAAACGGGAUUAGAUACCCCGGUAGUCC
RNAcentral lists this ribosomal RNA (274 nucleotides) under uncultured bacterium. RNAcentral describes it as "partial 16S ribosomal RNA". It matches the Rfam family "Bacterial small subunit ribosomal RNA", at positions 523 to 796 of the family's 1533-position model. The record is from RNAcentral.